CCUACGGGAGGCUGCAGUGGGGGAUAUUGGACAAUGGGGAGAACCCUGAUCCAGCGACGCCGCGUGAGUGAAGAAGUAUCUCGGUAUGUAAAGCUCUAUCAGCAGGGAAGAAGAAAUGACGGUACAUGAGUAAGAAGCCCCGGCUAACUACGUGCCAGCAGCCGCGGUAAUACGUAGGGGGCAAGCGUUAUCCGGAAUUACUGGGUGUAAAGGGAGCGUAGACGGUGAUGUAAGUCUGGAGUGAAAGGCGGGGGCCCAACCCCCGGACUGCUCUGGAAACUAUGUGACUGGAGUGCAGGAGAGGUGAGCGGAAUUCCUGGUGUAGCGGUGAAAUGCGUAGAUAUUAGGAGGAACACCAGUGGCGAAGGCGGCUUGCUGGGCUUUUACUGACGCUGAGGCUCGAAAGCGUGGGGAGCAAACAGGAUUAGAUACCCUUGUAGUC
This 442-nucleotide ribosomal RNA is filed under the name uncultured bacterium. RNAcentral describes it as "partial 16S ribosomal RNA". It matches the Rfam family "Bacterial small subunit ribosomal RNA", at positions 338 to 795 of the family's 1533-position model. The record is from RNAcentral.